This 954-nucleotide long non-coding RNA is filed under the name Homo sapiens (human). RNAcentral describes it as "HSALNT0302133". Lineage: Eukaryota; Metazoa; Chordata; Mammalia; Primates; Hominidae. The record is from RNAcentral.
CAUAAAGCAGGUACCAGAGCAGAGGGACGUACCACAUUCUUCUCUGAAAACAUAUUUAGGUUUAAGGAUGAGCUAGCUAAUGCUUCUGGCAACCAUCAUGGAUGAAGAGGUGACCUUGAGGAUGGAAGCCACAUGCCAGGAGAGUGAAGCAGAAAGACAGAAGAAGCAUGGGGCCUGGGGCCUGGGGCCUGCCAAUCAGUCUGGACUCACUCAUAUGGAAUGGACUGCAGUCACUUGAGAGAGAAAAAAACUUCCACUGUGUUUAAACCUCUGUUUGGCUUUUCUGUCACAUGUAGACAUCAGGAUUACCAAAAGACACAUCAGAUUUUGCCUUUCUUUAAAAAGAAAACUCAAUCUAAGUUCGUGUUUUUUUCCUUUAGUGAUUUGAGAGUGUUAAUUUCUAUUUCAGUUAUAUUAGUAGUUACUAUAAAAUGUCUAACAAACGUAUUUGUACAUUUAUUUUUGAAGAACAUUAGGACCUUGCUACUCCAAGUAUGAUCCCCUGAUCAGCUGUGUCAGCAUCACUGGGGAGUUUUUACGAAAUGUAGAAUCUCAUGCCUUACCUAGGCCCACAGAAACAGAAUCUCAUUUUGACAAGAUCCUCAGGUGAUCUGUGUACAUAUUGCAGUGUGAAAACCACUGCUCUUGAGACUGGCGUCCCCUCCCCACUUCUGUGUAAUGUGCAAUCAUCUCCCACUUUCCUCCUUACGCCUGUGAUGGCUUCCAUAGAGAGCCAAGUCAGCAGCAGGGCAUCCUUGGCCUUUGAAAAUCUGGUCCCUAUCUACCUUUAGUGUUUGUCCUUCUCCCACCCUACCCCAACUCGACACUCCUCGUGCUGGACUAAAUGUGUCACGUAGUUCCCUAAAUGUGUCACGGCACUUCCUGGGUAUACACUAAUCCCUCCCCAGUAGCCCAUCCAACAGCUAUCCCACUUCCUCCUUGCUAAUUAAUAGA